CAGUAGCCGCGGUAAUACGAAGGAGGCUAGCGUUGUUCGGAUUUACUGGGCGUAAAGCGCACGUAGGCGGAUCGAUCAGUCAGGGGUGAAAUCCCAGAGCUCAACUCUGGAACUGCCUUUGAUACUGUCGAUCUGGAGUAUGGAAGAGGUGAGUGGAAUUCCGAGUGUAGAGGUGAAAUUCGUAGAUAUUCGGAGGAACACCAGUGGCGAAGGCGGCUCACUGGUCCAUUACUGACGCUGAGGUGCGAAAGCGUGGGGAGCACACAGGAUUAGAUACCCGCGUAGUCCCUGUCUCUUAUAC
This 301-nucleotide ribosomal RNA is filed under the name uncultured bacterium. RNAcentral describes it as "partial 16S ribosomal RNA". It matches the Rfam family "Bacterial small subunit ribosomal RNA", at positions 509 to 807 of the family's 1533-position model. The record is from RNAcentral.